AACGAACGCUGGCGGCGUGGAUAAGACAUGCAAGUCGAACGCUUAUUCUGCUGUAGCAAUACAGUAGAGUAGGAGUGGCGCAAGGGUGCGUAACACGUGGGUAAUUUGCCAUGAAGUUGGGGAUAACUUGCUGAAAGGCGAGCUAAUACCGAAUGUGGUUAGAGAGAGGCAUCUCUUUUUGUACUAAAGCUGGGGAGUCGUAAGACCUGGCGCUUUAUGANAAGCCCGCGGCCUAUCAGCUAGUUGGUGAGGUAACGGCUCACCAAGGCUAAGACGGGUAGCUGGUCUGAGAGGACGACCAGCCACACUGGAACUGAGACACGGUCCAGACACCUACGGGUGGCAGCAGUCGAGUAAUUUUUCUUCAAUGGGC
This 373-nucleotide ribosomal RNA is filed under the name uncultured bacterium. RNAcentral describes it as "bacterial SSU rRNA". It matches the Rfam family "Bacterial small subunit ribosomal RNA", at positions 29 to 376 of the family's 1533-position model. The record is from RNAcentral.